RNAcentral lists this unclassified non-coding RNA (248 nucleotides) under plant metagenome. RNAcentral describes it as "partial contains small subunit ribosomal RNA, internal transcribed spacer 1, and 5.8S ribosomal RNA". The stretch from base 1 to 49 matches the Rfam family "Eukaryotic small subunit ribosomal RNA", at positions 1783 to 1831 of the family's 1831-position model. The record is from RNAcentral.
GGAAAGUCGUAACAAGGUCCCCGUUGGUGAACCAGCGGAGGGAUCAUUACAGAGUUGCAAAACUCCCAAACCAUUGUGAACGUUACCUAUCCCGUUGCUUCGGCGGGCGGCCCGGGCCCCGCGCCCGGCGCCCCCCGGCCCCCCGUGGGCGCCCGCCGGAGGUAAACCAAACCCUUGAAUUGCAUGGCCUCUCUGAGUCUUCUGUACUGAAUAAGUCAAAACUUUCAACAACGGAUCUCUUGGUUCUG